Molecule: long non-coding RNA, 194 nt
Organism: Octopus sinensis (East Asian common octopus)
Lineage: Eukaryota; Metazoa; Mollusca; Cephalopoda; Octopoda; Octopodidae
Exons: 3
Source: RefSeq, a predicted model, not a curated record
AUAUAUGUGUGUAUGUGUGCAUGUGUGUGUAUGUGUAUACAUGUGUGUGUACAGCGGUGGACUGGCCAGGUUACCAGCUUGCUCAAUGGCAAGUGGGCCCCUGUGCCAUUAGAAUCCAUAUAUGGGGACCCAUGUUAGUAUCUAAGGGGGCCCAUCCCCUCAUGUUUGAGAAUUUCUUUAUUCACACCUGGAAG